UGUAUAUUAUAUCGUAUAAAAUAAAACACUUGAGAUAAUGAUUGUUUUACUCCUGAUUUUAUUUAUUCAAUAAUAUAUUUUUUACUCAUUUAUAGGCAUAAUUUUAUGCUGAACUGUUGAUAUAAGCAAUUGUAAUUAUCAGACUUAGCAUAACGCCCUUCAAAAAGUUAUCAAUAAAUCCAUGACACUAAAAUUUCAUAUAUAAAAUACAAACAUUUAUCUAACUCGAGUGCCAUUUAAAAUUACUCUGAUUAGAUUUAUGUUAAAUUUAACAAACACGUUUUGGCACUUUUGUUUUUAGUAUUUUUACUUGAAGGUUUACAAUACAAUUAUUAUUUAGUUGUGUAAUUACUGGUUGUAGUGCUAGUUUGUUUUAUUUUUAUUUACAAAAAAAAAAACGUAUUCAAUCUAUACAUACAGUAUAAUAUAUUAUACUGUUUUUAAACAAAAUUACAAAUUUUACAAGUAUAUUUUUAUUAUUUUCUGAAUAUUAUAGUACUUAUAUCAAUAUAUUACCAUAAUUUCUAGGGUACACAUUGUGUAUGCAUAAUUUAGUUUGAAAAUAAUUAAUAACUUAAAACAUACAUAUUUUAUAUUACUUACAGUUAAAGCGAAUUUGAUUUAUAAUUUGUUUAAGUGCUCAAUAAAACAUAGUUAAAAAUAAUAAAAUGAUGGAGUUGGCGUUUAAGAGUUUUUGAGCAUUUUUUACUCUAAAAGCUAAAAAAAAAAAUCAAAAAAGUGAUGAGAACAAUUUGGACGUGAUGCAUAGUACGAAUUAAGAAGUACGGCCAUCGGGCCCCGAACAUGGCGAGCGAGCAGAUGUCUGAAUAUCAACUCAAUUCCAUCAUAAUUAUGUAAUCGUCGGACAGCAGCAAUAACUUUGUUCGGGAAGAAGGCGAGCGGGUUCACGGUAAUGUUCGGAAAACGGUAUUUUACACUAUUUCAUUGAUUUUUAUCCAAGGAUCCAACUAAUAAUAAAUUACAUCCACGUGUACAAUUACACUGCGAGGGAUGGAGACGACACCUUCUUUAAAAAAAAAUGGUUCUGUAUAGGAAUCUACUUUGCGAUUUCAAUCUCAUCCACAACCCUAAUAAUAUGUGCGCGGACAUAUCCAUCAACGAAUACCUCCGACAACCGAGCUGCUCAAGCACAAACAAGAACAUCGAGUGAAACCUUUAAACAUUCGAGAAUCUAAUGUACGAACAUAAAUCGCGGUUUGACUAUUUUCGGAUGCCCGCGGGCGCGUGUUAACGACGUCGGGCGUUCCAUAUAAACGAAAUAUAACACCUGACGUCCGUGUCCUAACGAAUUUAAUAUAUGUUAUUAAAGCGGCCUCCGGUGAUUGAGAGGAUCAGCGAAAAGUAGCAAAAAAAACGAACUCCGAUUUCCCAGUCAUUCGGCGUGUGUAUAUUGCGUGUAAUAUUAUGCUGGCAGGCGCAUAAAUUAUAGAUAAAUCUCUGCGAAUCGAUAAACCGUAGCUAGAUGCAUAAAUAGCGUAUCGUGUGUUCAACGUUUAUAUACACCACACUACAUGAUAUUACUAAGUAUAAAACGUGUGAAGGAAAUAUGAACAUAAAUAUUAUAUAAAAUGUGCACGUGUUACUGGGCACAUGACAAUAUAAUAUAAAAGUAUAAAACCCGUUUAUCGAUAAAAUUGUAAGACUUACGACGAAGUUACGAUCGUUGACUGUACAUGCCAUUUGUUAUACGCACACCCACGUUAUGCUUGCGAGUUGUGACCCGAGAACAAUUGAAACCACUGUUGAAAACAAUAGGGUUUGUAGGAGGACAACGCAAGUCGUGUGAGGCGCAAAGCCUAAAAGGUUGCAACGGUCAACAAUAUAAAACCUUUUUUGUUUACCACAGUGUAUAGAAAUAAACGUUCACGUCAAAUCCCAGCAUUAAAGGUCUCUUUAGCUUCCGACAAUAAUUCUCGCAUCUCGGUGGAAUUAUAUAAUAUUUUAUUGUGCGACUAAAACCCUCAACGCUUUUUCAUGUACAAACGUGUACAAUUAUUUAACCGCCGAAGCAGCCAACUUAUUUUUAAUACAAAUCGAGUGCUAACUGAAAUCGGAAUAAUCAUAAUAUGAUAAUAUAUUGUAUACAUUUUAAAUGAGAUUUGAGAACAUUCCAUUGGUAGUCGACGUGGAAUUCGAAAACCGACGGAAACGUAUAUCGUUUGUGAGACUACUGAACUCUUUGAACGAUUUCCGUUUACGGCCUACGGUGGAUUUUCCGCAAAAUAAAUGUUUACAAAACGAAUCACUUGUCCGAUUUCGGUGGAGACUGCGUGUAUUUAAUACGGUGACAAACUCUGCAAUACCAAUCCUGGUUAUGAUGGUUGGGAGCUGGUUGUGGGCAGACUGACAUACAAGAAAAAAGAAAAACCAAUCACGAUUUGCAGGCUUGUGGUUCGCAGGUGCACCUGUUCGAGGCUCCCCUGCAAUAACCUGGACUCAGGUACAGACUGACCGGUUGGCCUGAAUGCAUAAUGAAUAGUGCGAGCUCGCGUCCUGUGCUCUUUAUUUUAUUUAUUCGCUCUUCGGAUUAUGUUUCUCUCCUGGCGCACAUGUAAUAAACAUUUCGCGCAAAUCUCCGACGCAGCGCCGGCUUUCCCGCCGUACAUAUAAAUUACCAUUUCGCCAUCGUAGUCUGUGAUAAUGAUGAUGUUAUCUGAGCGGGGCAGCAAUAUUAAAUAUAGUAUAGACGGGACAGAUGAGUGUGCUGCUUUUUCCGAUGCUGAUGCACGAUGCACAACAAACAGAUAGAUAUAGACAGAUAGACAGAUAGAGACGGUGGAGGGGGUGACUAGGAUACUAUAUAUAAAAAUGGAAAAAGAGAGUGAGAGAGAUUGAGAGAGAGGAGGCAUUUGGCAGGCGCACAGCCUGGUUUUUUUUCACCGCACACAUGCCUGUACGUAAAAUGAGAAAUGGUAUACACGCGAAAAUCACGCUUUAUACACGUGCUCGCCGCGUCUGGCAGAGUUAAUACAAAACUGACCGCCGCGUUACACCCGGACUCGCCGAGAUAUUUAUGAUACAAUAAUUGUAAGAUGUGACUUUAAAACGUUAAUGAUUAUUAUUUACCACCAACCGUUGCGAGUGUUGUAAAAACAUUAUAACUUAUAAUGUUGUAGUGAUUCAGUGUUAUUACAGUUUUAUCAACUAUAAUAUAUGGGUAGGCAAACAGAUAAAUUAAAUUUUCAUUAUUAUUGUCCAGUGGACACACUACGCGAUGUCCGUUUUAAUUACAAUAAUAUACCAUACAGACAUACAGUUACGUGAUAACGUUUAUGGAUAUUUUUUGAAAAUAGGUAUCAUGAAAAUAAAUUUUAAGAACACGAGUAAUUCGAUAAAGUUAAGAUGAUAUACUAUCAUGAAUGAAUGAAUGUUAAAAAAUAAUCAGUUUGUAAAGAUUAUGUUGAGACGUCUACGAAACACGUUAUUAUACCUCGUAAAUUAACCACCGUAUUCUACUUCGUUUUUAUUAUUUUUUAAACUUUAAAAUAAUUUUUAUUACAAGUUGUAUAGUACGAGUGUACGACACACACUUGUGUGUGUGCCAUGUGUACACGAACCGAAGCCUGCUGGUUAGCACGUUACAGAGGUUAUGGAGCGCGUUACGGGCUGUAGGUUUUGGACGUCCGGUAACGGGCGGUCCGACUGGUAUUGAUCUGGAAAACGGACGGGGACCGGAGGCGGUGUGGAGCCGGCGCAUACACGCCGACCUCGCCAAUAACAGAACUCAUUGUCCGAAAAAAUAAAUAAAUAAAAGAACUAUCGUUGCUAAAAAGAAUGAAAAAAAUAAAAUGAAAAACACAAUAAACACUUCUGUCUCCUAUAUACAUUUGUGCACCGCAGCUGUAUGCUUGUAUAUACGACGAUAGAACCUAUACUAUUACACUGUAUCAUAUCCAUGGGCGUAACUAAAAUGUAGUAGUAACUUGUGACAGGAGCUAGUCCUGCAAAAUCAAAAUCAAAAAUAAGGCUUGGGUGGGCUAGGCCGUUACCGCUUCCGCACCUAACGUUAACAAAUAAUUAAGGUCUUUGCAUAAAACAUAAAUAAUAACAUAGACUACGUUUAUUGACUUGCAACUUGCAGUUAAAACUCAAUAAAACUAUCAUAUAAUUAUACCUGUAUCGGAGUGGAAAUAAUUACCAGUAAGGCACUAACGCAAGAUCAAACUAUAUUAUAAAUGUAGCCAUUGUAGGUACAAUAAUAAUAUGUAUAUUAAACCUAUUAAUAAUUCAUACAUUUAACUUUAUGAUGAAGGAUAUUUAUAUCAUAGGUACCCUAAUAUAAUCAAGACCACUAAUAAGAUAAUAUUAAAUAAUAACACAGGAAAUCAAAACGUAACUCGUAAUUUUAAUUUUAUUAAUUUGUUGUAUAAAUAUUAGAUGUGUUUUUUAAAAAUAUUAAAUUACUAAUGAGAAAUUUAAAUUCCUGAUUCUUUAGAGGACUUGGUACAAAAUCCAAAAGAGACUAGAGCAUUUUAUAGAGGAAAAGCUUUCCUUAGUCAUGCUUUAUGCCGAUGAUCAUAAUACACAGUGAAAAUAGUGUGCCAGAGUGUAUGGUUAUAUUUUAUAUCCUUUUAACCUAUAAUAUAGACGUUAGGGAUAUCAGGAUAUUAUUUACCUAAAUAUUUGGUACACAACACUUAUGUGUAUUUUAUAAUAACGCCGUGCCAUAAUACUCAUGGUGUAUUCACUCACUCGAUGGCGGUACAAGACGUAAAUGGUGUGACACAUUGUCUCCUGACGAAGAACUCCGAGAGCAAAAAAAUACGAAAACAAACGUAUUCUUUGGUAAAAAAAACGGUAAUGACCGAGUGUACAUAUCGUUUGAGUGCAAACACACACAAAAAAUAAUGUACACAAACUAACCCGAGAAGUACGUGUCGACCAUACAAAUUCGGUUUCGCCGCAAACACAAUAUGACAUAAAAUACAUCAUAUUAUUCAUAUUAUUAUAUUGUUAACGUCGACGCGUCAAAGUUAUCGUCGUCGCCGCCGUGUCAAAAUCGAUUUUUGGCCGUCUAUAAACGCAGGGUAAAUACACACACGUACGUCGUAUAUAUAUGGCUAUAUAAAAUAUAAUCUGUGUAAACCUAUUAUUGUUAUAGAUAUGUACACGGCAUUUCAACCGUUUAUCGUGGACGCGUGUCAUAUUAUAUUAUACAAAUAUACUUAUUGCAUCGUUAUAUCGGCCAAAUGUUGGUGAAAUUGUUCUCGAGUGGAGGUGCAGCUGGGUGUAUAAUAUUUUAUUUGAAUUUUCCUUAUUUACUUUUGGACACCGAAUGCGUCAAGAAAUGCGUAUUAUUAUAUUGGUGUUAUUUUUUGUUGACAACGAUGUGCGGUGUUGUCCUCUUCUAGGGUUUCUUUUUCAUAAAUCACUUUUUGCAGAAGAAAAUGAAAGGCCAGUGCAGAUCACUGUAUUCAAAUCAAACACUGACAGAUAUAGUAUGCAGAGGUCAUUUUUUGACAUUUCUGGGGAAAUUGUGACGAUCAAAUGAAAGCAAGUACAUUGAUUUCAACUGAAUUUUGUCCAUUUGUCAAUCCGCUGGUUGCUUUCAAAGCUCCAAAGUUCAAAAACGUUCACUCCAAUGACCCAUUUGCAAUGUAAGGCUUACAUAGUUUGUUUCGGAUAAAUUAUUAUCCACGGUGACAAGAAGUAAAGUGAAAAUAAUAUGAUUUUUGAAAUAUUUAUAUGUACAUAUUACCUAGUUAUGACAGGAGUACCGCGUACAGACAAUUAGAUAAUUCGGUCAUUUACAAAUGGAUAAUAAUUAAAAUAUAAUAUACGGCAUCCCCGAUAUACACUACAUACACCCUCCAAAACAUGACUGACGAGGUUGGGUGAGUAGACGAAGUGAAGCCACGGUGGUGCACUGGUUUCCAUUUUGAAACAACACCGUACGGACAGGGAACCACUUUUCGGUGCACGUAUGAAAAGCAUUUAUCACUGUUUCGACGGACGAAUUCAUGGCACUCCGAAUAAUAUUUAGAUUGUCGAUUUGUCUUCAAUCCGGACGGUUCCUCCAUAAAUAUUAUUAGUCUAUACGCGAUACAUAUUGUAUAUAAGUAGUUGAAUUUCAUAAUCAUUAAUCGGCCGCCGUGCUCCAAUAAUUUGAUGUGACUGGCAAGGUCGGCAUUUGCAAACUGACUGAUUUGUUGAGGAAACAUUUGAUUUAAUAUUGUUGAUACAAGCAUUGUGGAAUUAUAGAUUUGUACUGUAGUUUCGAAGUUCGGAUGUUAUUUAGACGUCUAGCCAUCCAUACAAAACUUGGUGUAAGUGGUAUAUUAUGUGAAUUUGUGUGUUUGUUGUGUGAAGGAACAGAAUAUUAUUAUACCGGCCUACAUUAUUAUGUAUUUAUACUAUUUUUAAAUACACGCUAUUAUUGUAGGAUUCGUCUACUGUCGAACGGAAUGACGCAGAUAUUAUAUAAAUAGGUAUAGGACAGGCGUGUACAACAACAAUAUAUUAUACGUAUUAUAUAGGCAUUCCAGUAAAAUGGUAUUUCUAAACUUACUUUUAUUCCAGCGGCAGUAUGUAUUAACAGGCAUAAUACAAACUAUAAAACAAAACAACCGCUUUUUUAUGAAUUCAAUAAUAUGUUUUGCUUUUUGAAUAGCAUUUUAUCAGUCGUGUUUAACAUUAUUAUUUAAUUUGUUCGAUCUGUAUUCUGUAUGUAGGAAAGUUAACAAAACGCCACUGAGGUAGUUUUCAUAUUUAUUUAUCUAAUCUCAUGUGUCUUUUUCGCAAUAGGUAUACAUGUUAUUUUUGUCUAUGAUAGAACACAAUAUUAAAAUUAUGUGAUAUUGAAAUUGAAUUGAGAUAAGAAUAAAUAAGUCGAAAUGAGCUGUUUUUUUCGGUUACCUACAUUGAUUGGUCAACACUUUUGCCUCUUUUCGGUACCUCCAUUUAAAACCGAACUUACGUCACUGUUGAGGCGGUAGUACUGAAAUCACCACUGGCUUCCGUAAACGCAGAAAACAACUACUACCAGAGCGGCGAGCUCGUUUGUAUAAGCACACACGUGGUAUGCACACAAUGAACUAGCGAAAGCUUUCAAAUCGAUAUUUGGCGGCUGGUAGAACCGAAUGACGCACGCUGGAGGGAAAAAAUAAAAUAAAAGCAGUACCCGAGACGACUCGGCCGCGACGGUUAAGGCCAAAGUCCGACGGAAACGACCGUGUCGGGGGGGCGGCGGCGGCGGUGGAAAAUUGCUAAGCCCGCACACUCACGCACGCGGGUUAUGUUGUUUCACUCGGAAACCAACCCCCCUGUCGGAGUUUAAAUUCGUGUUUAUUUUCCUCCGGUUACUUAUAAAUCCCUAAUCGCUCGCACUCAAAUCGGUCUGAUCGGCUGUAAUUGAUUUUCGUAACGAGUGGUUAGCAUAAAAUUAUUGGUUCGUCUGCAUAGCAAAGAAGACCAACUGACCUAACCCAACCCGUUGUUGUAGUACAUUCAAUGGUUCAAGGUUGGUUGAGUGUUCUAUGCUACGGUUUGGGAAAGGGGUAGGAACAGCGCACAAUCGCGAUUAUAAUUUAAUUGCAGGCAUAUACCAGGUACAGAGUGACGGACAUUAAAAUACUGUAGGGAAAUACAAGUGUCUAACUCGCCGGACGUGAUGAUUUAGCGAGAGAUCAUGGAGACUUUUCUACGAUUAUAUUUUUCUGCGAUAUGAUGAGUGCAGUUUUGUUAGAAUAUCAGAAGUCACUCGAAGUCAUAUUUUAAUGUGCCCUAGUGCGCUACGCCAAUCGCAACAUGAUCAUAAUAAUGAAAGAGAUUGAUAGAAUUAUAUCACUUCUUUUAUUAUUAUGCAAAUAAAAAAUAUUUGUAGGCCGGGGGGGUUCGAAAGAGAAAUCUCCAAUGAAACUGUUGAAUCUAUAAUUCGACAAAAACGUAAUCAACAUUUUUAAAUUUUUAGUCCACGAUAAGACAGAAAUAUUAAAUUUGUAAAGAAACGUAAACUCUUGUCGCGCGUGGCUAGCGACGUUUGCGCUAUUUACAAUGGAACAUUUUGUAGUGUCGUUAUUUUAAACGAUAAACCAACUGAACCGAACAAAGAUUACCGAAACAAAGCAGUAAUACAACACUUACAUUGCUCCAAAAAAAGUAAUGCUCUACAAAUACCGCGCUACAUCCAAUCAUUGUACGUAUUACGUAUACAACUGUACUCUUCAGUCUUCAGCACUUGCAUUUCUAUCGUAUUGAAAAUACACAUCAUUAUUAUUAUUAUUAUUGUGAUUAUUAUUAUGUACUACCGGUCUCGCACAAAAAUAAUUUGUUUGCACGCGAUUAAAUA
Long non-coding RNA from Myzus persicae (green peach aphid), 8308 nucleotides. RefSeq lists it as uncharacterized. The record is from RefSeq and is a predicted model, not a curated record. The transcript has 3 exons. NCBI's taxonomy places the organism in Eukaryota, Metazoa, Arthropoda, Insecta, Hemiptera, Aphididae.